Molecule: long non-coding RNA, 325 nt
Organism: Uranotaenia lowii
Lineage: Eukaryota; Metazoa; Arthropoda; Insecta; Diptera; Culicidae
Exons: 2
Source: RefSeq, a predicted model, not a curated record
AGUUUUACUGUUUCAGUUGAACAACAAUCGUAAAAAGUUCUAAAAAUGAAAUUCCUUAACGCAGCUGUCGCCAUGUUUGUUCUGAUUGCCGUUGCCGUUGCUGAACCGAGAAUAAAAAUUGGAUUCAGAUAUAAGUAAAAUAUACAACAACUUUGCGAUCGUCCCGAGGUCGAAACAGUUUUUCAGGACUUUAGUUAAAACCACCAAUGGAUGUUGCCUCGUGAAGAAUUGUGUAACGUGAAGAGUAAUUAUUCAAUAAAUUGAAUCAAACAUGAAAAAUUGUUUCAAAGUUUCUGUUAAAUAAAUUCAUGGAUUGAUAGAAAAA